This 300-nucleotide ribosomal RNA is filed under the name Triticum aestivum (bread wheat). Its description in RNAcentral is "partial small subunit ribosomal RNA". The record is from RNAcentral. Lineage: Eukaryota; Viridiplantae; Streptophyta; Magnoliopsida; Poales; Poaceae.
AUGCACAUGUACAGCCACCUGGACCCAUGGACACCAUCUGGACAAAAUGAGUGCAUGUGUAUGGCUGUUGGUCUGCACCGCACAUGGAAGAGUGGAGGGCUUGCGAUGGAGAAUGAUGAGGAGGGGUGCGCCCCCUCAACCGCCGAUGUCGCAGACUUUGAGGUUGCUGCCUGCGGGGAAAACAGCAUGCCCAAGAUCCCCGACGCAACGGACGAGAUCGAGGUCCUUUGCACAGCGAAGGGCAACUUGGAGGAGCGGCAGCUGCAGACCACGCAUCUCCCGCACACGCCGACACGCUAG